UUGUAGUAUUAUGAAGAGAUGGAACAAUCUGGAAUCCACUUGACAAAAGAAGUUUUUGUAGCCCUGAUUCAUGCAUAUGUACCUUGCGGUGAAUAUUAUGAAGAACAAGAUAACAAGGAUGUGUUAUGAAAUUUACAUGGCGAGUUGGAGAGGGUGCUUCUCCUACUCAAGGAGUUGAGUGGUCAAGAUUGGGUUGACGGUUGCAGGUGGGCUAUCCGGUACUCAGUUCAAAACAAAAAUUUAAUUUCUACCAUUGAACUGUUUAAACAACUCAAGGAUUAUUACAAAAAUGAUGCACCCGAAAGAAG
Long non-coding RNA from Medicago truncatula (barrel medic), 308 nucleotides. RefSeq lists it as uncharacterized. The transcript has 3 exons. The record is from RefSeq and is a predicted model, not a curated record. NCBI's taxonomy places the organism in Eukaryota, Viridiplantae, Streptophyta, Magnoliopsida, Fabales, Fabaceae.